RNAcentral lists this ribosomal RNA (192 nucleotides) under uncultured bacterium. RNAcentral's name for it is "partial 16S ribosomal RNA". It matches the Rfam family "Bacterial small subunit ribosomal RNA", at positions 340 to 524 of the family's 1533-position model. The record is from RNAcentral. RNAcentral also lists the same sequence under 1 other name.
UACGGGAGGCAGCAGUAGGGAAUCUUCCACAAUGGGCGCAAGCCUGAUGGAGCAACACCGCGUGAGUGAAGAAGGGUUUCGGCUCGUAAAGCUCUGUUGUUGGAGAAGAACGUGCGUGAGAGUAACUGUUCACGCAGUGACGGUAUCCAACCAGAAAGUCACGGCUAACUACGUGCCAGCAGCCGCGGUAAU